RNAcentral lists this ribosomal RNA (315 nucleotides) under uncultured eukaryote. Its description in RNAcentral is "partial 18S ribosomal RNA". It matches the Rfam family "Eukaryotic small subunit ribosomal RNA", at positions 1470 to 1796 of the family's 1831-position model. The record is from RNAcentral.
CCCUUAGACGUUCUGGGCCGCACGCGCGCUACACUGACCAGUGCAACAAGCAUCCGUCCUUGGCCGACAGGCUCGGGCAAUCUUUGAACGCUUGUCGUGAUGGGGAUAGACUUUUGCAAUUUUUGGUCUUCAACGAGGAAUUCCUAGUAAACGCAAGUCAUCAACUUGCAUUGAUUACGUCCCUGCCCUUUGUACACACCGCCCGUCGCACCUACCGAUUGAAUGGUCCGGUGAAGCCUCCGGAUUGGCGCGCACCUCGGUGCCGCCGAGAAGUUGGCUAAACCUUACCAUUUAGAGGAAGGUGAAGUCGUAACA